GCUGGGCAUGGUGGUGUGUGCCUGUGGUCCCAGCUACUCAGGAAGCUGAGGUGGGUGGAUCACUUGAGCCCAGGAGGUCAAGGCUGCAGUGAGCCUAGAUCAUGCCACUGCACUCCAGCCUGGGUUACAGAGUGAGAUUCUAUCUCAG
Molecule: unclassified non-coding RNA, 148 nt
Organism: Pongo abelii (Sumatran orangutan)
Lineage: Eukaryota; Metazoa; Chordata; Mammalia; Primates; Hominidae
Rfam family: Metazoan signal recognition particle RNA
About the family: The signal recognition particle (SRP) is a universally conserved ribonucleoprotein. It is involved in the co-translational targeting of proteins to membranes.
Source: Ensembl